GGGGAGCGAAAUUAUAGUAGCGAAGUCGUUGAUGUCACGCUGCCGAGAAAAGCUUCUAGCGAAUAAUCAACUGCCCGUACCGCAAACCGACACAGGUAGUCGAGGAGAGUAUCCUAAGGUGAGCGAGCGAACUCUCGUUAAGGAACUCGGCAAAAUGACCCCGUAACUUCGGGAGAAGGGGUGCUGAUCGCAAGAUCAGCCGCAGUGAAAAGGCCCAGGCGACUGUUUAUCAAAAACACAGGUUUCUGCAAAAUCGUAAGAUGAAGUAUAGGGGCUGACGCCUGCCCGGUGCUGGAAGGUUAAAAGGAAGAGUUAGCUUCGGCGAAGCCCUGAAUUGAAGCCCCAGUAAACGGCGGCCGUAACUAUAACGGUCCUAAGGUAGCGAAAUUCCUUGUCGGGUAAGUUCCGACCCGCACGAAAGGCGUAACGAUCUGGGCACUGUCUCAACGAGAGACUCGGUGAAAUUGAAUUGCCUGUGAAGAUGCAGGCUACCCGCGACAGGACGGAAAGACCCCAUGGAGCUUUACUGUAGCUUGAUAUUGAGUGCUUGUACUGCUUGUACAGGAUAGGUAGGAGCCAUAGAAGCCAGGACGCUAGUUUUGGCAGAGGCGUUGGUGGGAUACUACCCUUGCAUUAUGAUCACUCUAACCCGCACCACUGAUCGUGGUGGGAGACAGUGUCAGGUGGGCAGUUUGACUGGGGCGGUCGCCUCCCAAAAGAUAACGGAGGCGCCCAAAGGUUCGCUCAGAAUGGUUGGAAAUCAUUCGCAGAGUGUAAAGGCACAAGCGAGCUUGACUGCGAGACAGACAGGUCGAGCAGGGACGAAAGUCGGGCUUAGUGAUCCGGUGGUUCCGCAUGGAAGGGCCAUCGCUCAACGGAUAAAAGCUACCCUGGGGAUAACAGGCUUAUCUCCCCCAAGAGUCCACAUCGACGGGGAGGUUUGGCACCUCGAUGUCGGCUCAUCGCAUCCUGGGGCUGUAGUCGGUCCCAAGGGUUGGGCUGUUCGCCCAUUAAAGCGGUACGCGAGCUGGGUUCAGAACGUCGUGAGACAGUUCGGUCCCUAUCCGUCGCGGGCGUAGGAAAUUUGAGAGGACCUGUCCUUAGUACGAGAGGACCGGGAUGGACAUACCGCUGGUGUACCAGUUGUUCCGCCAGGAGCAUCGCUGGGUAGCUAUGUAUGGAUGAGAUAAACGCUGAAAGCAUCUAAGCGUGAAACUCGCCUCAAGAUGAGAUUUCCCAUUCCUUAUGGAAGUAAGACCCCUCAGAGAUGAUGAGGUAGAUAGGAUGGAAGUGGAAGUGCCGCGAGGCAUGGAGCGGACCAUUACUAAUCGGUCGAGGACUUAACCAAGUU
RNAcentral lists this ribosomal RNA (1351 nucleotides) under Limosilactobacillus mucosae. RNAcentral's name for it is "Lactobacillus mucosae partial 23S ribosomal RNA". It matches the Rfam family "Bacterial large subunit ribosomal RNA", at positions 1566 to 2925 of the family's 2925-position model. The record is from RNAcentral. Lineage: Bacteria; Bacillati; Bacillota; Bacilli; Lactobacillales; Lactobacillaceae.